AUACGUAGGUGGCAAGCGUUAUCCGGAAUUAUUGGGCGUAAAGGGUGCGCAGUCGGCUGAUUAAGUUUGUGGUGAAAGUGCGGGGCUUAACUCCGUAUGGCCAUGAAAACUGGUUAGCUAGAGUGCAGAAGAGGGUAGUGGAAUUCCAUGUGUAGCGGUAAAAUGCGUAGAUAUAUGGAGGAACACCAGUGGCGAAGGCGGCUACCUGGUCUGUAACUGACGAUGAGGCACGAAAGCGUGGGGAGCAAAUAGGAUUAGAUACCCUAGUAGUCCACGCUGUAAACGAUGAAUACUAAGUGUUGGGGAAACUCAGUGCUGCAGUUAACGCAAUAAGUAUUCCGCCUGGGGAGUAUGCACGCAAGUGUGAA
RNAcentral lists this ribosomal RNA (368 nucleotides) under uncultured bacterium. Its description in RNAcentral is "bacterial SSU rRNA". It matches the Rfam family "Bacterial small subunit ribosomal RNA", at positions 523 to 898 of the family's 1533-position model. The record is from RNAcentral.